Molecule: ribosomal RNA, 254 nt
Filed under: uncultured bacterium
Lineage: Bacteria
Description: partial 16S ribosomal RNA
Rfam family: Bacterial small subunit ribosomal RNA
Source: RNAcentral
UACGGAGGGGGCUAGCGUUGUUCGGAAUCACUGGGCGUAAAGCGCACGCAGGCGGAUCGUUAAGUCAGGGGUGAAAUCCCGAGGCUCAACCUCGGAACUGCCUUUGAUACUGGCGAUCUUUGAGUCCGGGAGAGGUGAGUGGAACUCCGAGUGUAGAGGUGAAAUUCGUAGAUAUCGGGAGGAACACCAGUGGCGAAGGCGGCGAUCUGGGAAGAUACUGACGCUGAGGUGCGAAAGCGUGGGGAGCAAACAGG